GCGAGUAUUAGAUUUGGCCUUUGCAUACAAGCAGAUUCUCUACCACCUAGCCCCUAUUCCCACCCUGUCCCUGUUUGUUGCAUGGUUUGUCUCUUGGGAUAGUCACGUUUAUUUACUUACUAUAUCAAAUUAUAAUUUUCAUUUAUAUGUUUAGCAUUCUUGUAGGCACUUGACAUAUGCCAGGUAGUACCAUGUUAGAUGCUGGCAGAUCGAGCAGGAACAGUAGUUUCGAUCCCUGCCUUCAUAGAAUUUAGCUUACAAGCUCUACAAGUUCUACAAGCCUACAGCUGUGAACACUGCUGUGAAAAUCUAAAUGAGCGUGAAAUGGGACCUGCCCCUCACUGUAGUAGGCAGCUGUGAUCAUAAAGUGAUGGACAGAGGUGGAUGCUGGUGGGGGAAAAAGGAUGCAGAGGAGCUUGUAGAAGCGGGAAGUGGGGAACAGAGCUAUGUGGUGUCCAUACAGUUAACAGUGGUUCACAGUUUGCCUUGUUGAAUAUCCAGGCGAAAGAUUUAGAGGUUGAGGGCAUUGGCUUCCCUGGAGCCUGAGUUAUAAAUGGUUGAGAGCCACCAUGUGGGUGCUGGGAACCAACUGAGUCCUCUGCAGGAGUAGUACCUACUUUUAACUGCUGAGCAGUCUUUCCAAUGUCUGUCUUUGCACUUUUAAAGCCACAUCAAAAAAGACAAAAACAAAAACAAAAAAAAAAAAAAACAAAUGCCAACAUUGGUGAUUUGUAUUAUUUGCCUAUAAACUGCAUAUUUUAUAGUCAUUGCUGACCUAUAUUCUCCUGUAUAGAUGCUUCAUAGUUUAUAACCACUCUCAGUUGUUAGGUUGUGGUGUGCUCAUGCAUGCAGUUGCUGGUAGUGGUGCUACUGUUGUUACCAGAGACUGAAUUGAGUCCAUCUUUGCCGUCUUUGUUUUCUAUUUUUCCUCUUGUGCUCAAGCAGUUCUGCUUUUACCUAAAGUAGCUGGGAUCACAGGUGUGCACCAGUGUGGGCAGUGCCAUAGUUGUUGAAUCUUUAGGUUGGUUCUGUUCUUUACUCAGGACUGUGUACUGUGGGUAGCAGUGAGUGCUGGUGGAGUGGACCUGUUUCUUCACACAGCUUUUCUCACAGGUUACUAUGCCUGCCACUGAUGUGUUGCAUUCUCGCAUUAAGGAGCUGGGGCUUUUCCAUAGUCCUAGCAGGUUGCUUGUUAGAUGACUCAACUGGAGACUCUUCCUGAUGUCCCCUUGUAUCCUAUCUCCUCCCUUGCAGGCAUUGGGGUCCCAUGGCAGUUGUAGCAGUGAGGUGGAAAAGGAGACCCAGGAGAAGAUGACCAUCCUCCAGAACUACUUUGAGCAGAACAGAGAUGAAGUCCUGGAUAACCUCUUGGCCUUUGUGUGUGACAUCCGGCCAGAAAUCCAUGAAAACUACCGCAUAAAUGGAUAGGAGGCAGACGCGCCUGCUUUGUGGGUUGGCAUGGGAUCUGUCCCCGUGGAAUAGGAAACCUGCAGAGCUCGAAUUGUAUUCUGGAAGACAUUAAAUUAUGUCUCUAUACUGUUGUAGGACCCUUCACUUUUUGAGAGUAUCAAAUCUAGCUUUUUGUACAGAUUUACUACGUACCUGAAGUUUCAUCUUCUUACCUUGUGUAUCUAUAAGAAGUAUAUGUCACCUUCCUGUGUGUUCGUGCAAGUAAUGGUUAUCAAUGUUGACUUUUCUUUUAUUAGUCUAGUAAAAAAAAAAAUUCUUUGAAGAAAGAAAGGGAGUGAAUUGCUCCCUUCUACUUUCUUAAAGGUCAGGGGCGUUAUCUAUGAAAAAGUAGUAAGUAGCCAUUUGUAAUUCCUAAGAAGCAGCCAGCCAUAUAGUGCUCUAUCCUGGAUCAUUUAGGACAAUGAUAUGCUUGUCCAGGUUGCUGUUAGUACAUCCUAACCCAAGUCACUAGAUGCUAGGACUCAGCUUGUUACAUGUUAUUUGGUGUGCUUGUAAUCAUUUAAAAGUAAAACUUUGUCUUGCCUUUCAUCCUCCUGGCUCCUCUUCUUGAUAAUACAAAGUAUAUCUUGACCCAG
This 2045-nucleotide long non-coding RNA is filed under the name Rattus norvegicus (Norway rat). RNAcentral's name for it is "long non-coding RNA NONRATT022331". Lineage: Eukaryota; Metazoa; Chordata; Mammalia; Rodentia; Muridae. The record is from RNAcentral.